UUGAGGAUGAUAGAGCUGGGGUAUCUGUCAACCCACUGAUUGCCAGAGUCCGUGUGACUAAUAUGGCUGGUUUGAUGUCCUCUUCCUCACUCAUCACAUAGUGCGGAAUUCUGAAAUUCUGUGCCUGGUCAGAGAGAAUGAUGUUCCCUGGUAGAGAAGAACUGUUCUUCAAUCUAAAGCAAGCUGUCACAGUACUCCCCUGCAAGAAACUUUGUACCAGUUAAACUAUUACUGGUGAAUUUAAGCAGAAAGUGGGGAUUAUUUUAAGGG
Molecule: small RNA, 270 nt
Filed under: Piliocolobus tephrosceles (Ugandan red Colobus)
Lineage: Eukaryota; Metazoa; Chordata; Mammalia; Primates; Cercopithecidae
Description: 7SK RNA (ENSPTEG00000000528.1)
Rfam family: 7SK RNA
About the family: 7SK was discovered as an abundant small nuclear RNA in the mid-70s but a possible function has only recently been suggested.
Source: RNAcentral